GUUAGAUGAGAACUUUUCAGGUCACAGAUAAGCCAGUUUUUUAUGGUGGUGGUUAGUGUUUUGUUUUUCUUUUUGAGACGGAGUUUCGCUCUUUUCACCCAGGCUGGAGUGCAAUGGCACGAUCUCGGCUCACCGCAACCUCCGCCUCCUGGGUUCAGCCAAUUCUCCUGCCUCAGCCUCCUGAGUAGCUGGGAUUACAGGCAUGCGCCACCGUGCCCAGCGAUAAGGCCUUGCUACACUAUCUAGGCUGCCACAAACUCCUGGGCUCAAGUGAUCCUCUCACCUCAGCCACACAAGUAGCUGAGACUACAGAUAUUUUCUGGUAGACUGAUAUAUUUCUCCAUAAAAACUUGGAAAAAUUUAGUUAUGAAGCUACCUGCCCCUGAAGAUACCUUUUCUGAUAUGAUGGUGGGAGCUCUGAGUCCUAUUUUGGAGUAUGAGAAUGAGAGCUACGUCUUGGGGUUACAGAGAAGUAAACUGCAAGGAGACCAAGACUCUGAGUACUUAAUGCUGCAAGACUGCCAUAGAAGAGGUAAGACUGCUUAUAUCCUAACUGCUUAUAUCCUAACUGAUGUGUAAAACUAAUAACACUCGGGCUUUAUUCUCAGGUUUCUAUAAUGAGACUUGAUACUUGUGCAAAAUAAUAUUAUUAAUCUCCCUCUCCAUCUCUCACUCAUGCCUUCUACUUUUAAAAAACAGCACAUAAAAUUGAAAACCUUAGGAGAAGGAACCAAGCAUGUUUGGCUAUUUUCAUCAUAUUGAAUGUAAACUGUCUGUGAUAUUCUCUGCUUCUAUUUCCAUAUGUUAAAUAUUCUUGAGUCACAACUGUCUUUUUACAAAUUUAAAAUACUUGUUAUGAUUCAGCAUGUUUGGUGAUUCUAGCAAAAGCUGUAAUACAAUAAAUUAUAUCCAGAAAAUAUACAUCUCCAAAACUUAUCCAAGAACGAAGAAAAACACACUAAAAUAUACAAAUGAUUUUAGAAGAGGUUGGAAAGGUGAUCAAAAUGUGUGUGUUUGUGUGUGUGUGUGUGUGUGUGUGCACGCUUUUUAAGGCUCCAGGAAAAUAUAAUUUCAUAGAAGAGUUUUAUCUAAUCUCUAAAAAACCAAUUCUCAUGCAACCUAAGUAUUCCAGGUUAUCAGAAAACGUAAAAGUUGAUAGCCAGGCGCAGUGACUCACGCCUGUUAUCCCAGCAGUUCUAGAGGCAAAAACAGGUGGAUCACUUGACAUCAGGAAUACAAGACCACCAGCCUUGCCAACAUGGUGUAACCCCGUCUCUACUAAAACUGCAAAAAUUAGCUGGGUGUAGUGGUGCACGUGUGUAACCCCAGCUACUAAGGAGGCUGAGGCAUUAGAAUUGCUUAAACCCAGGAGGCAGAGGUUGCUGUGAGCUAAAAUCACACUACAACACUCACUCCAGCCUGGGCAACAAAGUGAGAGAGUGUCUCAAAAAGAAGAAAAAGAAUAAAAAAGUAAAAGGUAAAACUUUUUUAUUUUAGGCAGUUAGCAGAUUCUAAAUACUAAAACAUUAAUAAGAUGGAGAAAGUAAACAGAAAAAGAAUAUCCAUUGAAGAAAUAGAUGUGUAAUUUUUAAAUAAAACAUUAACAAAUAGUACCUAGCCAAGCAUCAAAAGAAAAGGAAUUAUUCCAGGAAUGUGUUAAUUUUUCCAAAUCAGAAAAUGUAUUGCCAGAAUAGAUUAUAUCAUUAAGAUAAUGUGCAGAAAAGCCGUAUACUUUCUCUCUGUGGGAGAGAUUUUUUGUUUGUCUUGAGAAUGCAACAAUUGUAUAGUCUUUUAAAAUAAGUCCUGUCU
Molecule: long non-coding RNA, 1809 nt
Organism: Callithrix jacchus (white-tufted-ear marmoset)
Lineage: Eukaryota; Metazoa; Chordata; Mammalia; Primates; Cebidae
Source: Ensembl